UACGGAGGGUGCAAGCGUUAUCCGGAUUUAUUGGGUUUAAAGGGUGCGUAGGCGGUCAAUUAAGUCAGCGGUGAAAGUUUUCAGCUUAACUGGAAAAAUGCCGUUGAUACUGAUAGGCUAGAAUAUGGUUGCUGUGGGUGGAAUGUGUGGUGUAGCGGUGAAAUGCUUAGAUAUCACACAGAAUAUCAAUUGCGAAGGCAGCUCACAAAGCCAUUAUUGACGCUGAGGCACGAAAGUGUGGGGAUCAAACAGG
This 253-nucleotide ribosomal RNA is filed under the name uncultured bacterium. RNAcentral's name for it is "partial 16S ribosomal RNA". It matches the Rfam family "Bacterial small subunit ribosomal RNA", at positions 524 to 776 of the family's 1533-position model. The record is from RNAcentral.